RNAcentral lists this ribosomal RNA (497 nucleotides) under uncultured bacterium. RNAcentral's name for it is "partial 16S ribosomal RNA". It matches the Rfam family "Bacterial small subunit ribosomal RNA", at positions 28 to 507 of the family's 1533-position model. The record is from RNAcentral.
GAUGAACGCUGGCGGCGUGCCUAAUACAUGCAAGUCGAGCGAACAGACGAGGCGCUUGCUCCUCUGACGUUAGCGGCGGACGGGUGAGUAACACGUGGAUAACCUACCUAUAAGACUGGGAUAACUUCGGGAAACCGGAGCUCAUACCGGAUAAUAUAUUGAACCGCAUGGUUCAAUAGUGAAAGACGGUUUUGCUGUCACUUAUAGAUGGAUCCGCGCCGCAUUAGCUAGUUGGUAAGGUGACGGCUUACCAAGGCAACGAUGCGUAGCCGACCUGAGAGGGUGAUCGGCCACACUGGAACUGAGACACGGUCCAGACUCCUACGGGAGGCAGCAGUAGGGAAUCUUCCGCAAUGGGCGAAAGCCUGACGGAGCAACGCCGCGUGAGUGAUGAAGGUCUUCGGAUCGUAAAACUCUGUUAUUAGGGAAGAACAAAUGUGUAAGUAACUAUGCACGUCUUGACGGUACCUAAUCAGAAAGCCACGGCUAACUACGUG